RNAcentral lists this ribosomal RNA (324 nucleotides) under uncultured eukaryote. RNAcentral describes it as "partial 18S ribosomal RNA". It matches the Rfam family "Eukaryotic small subunit ribosomal RNA", at positions 1470 to 1796 of the family's 1831-position model. The record is from RNAcentral.
CCCUUAGAUGUUCUGGGCUGCACGCGCGCCACACUGAUGCGAUCAACAAGUUUUUCCUAUGUCGAUAGACACGGGUAAUCUUUUGAACUCGCAUCGUGAUGGGGAUAGAUUAUUGUAAUUAUUAAUCUUCAACGAGGAAUUCCUAGUAGGUGCAAAUCAUCAGUUUGCAUCGAUUACGUCCCUGCCCUUUGUACACACCGCCCGUCGCUGCUACCGAUUGGUUGAUCUGGUGAAUUAUUCGGACUGCCGGCUGAAGGGGUUUCCUCAUCUGCCAGCGGAAAGUCUUGUUAACCCUAUCAACUAGAGGAAGCAGAAGUCGUAACA